AUUGCUUCUUGGCCUUUUGGCUAAGAUCAAGUGUAGUAUCUGGUACCUAUGGACCUCUUUAAUUCAAACUAGGGUAAUAUGGACUAGUAAAUAAAAAUGACCCAGCUGGAGACACUCUAAAGGGGCAUUGUGGCAUUGAUAUUAAUUUUAGUCUUUGCCAAUUAGA
The sequence is a small nuclear RNA, 166 nucleotides long. Its record names the gene U2. It matches the Rfam family "U2 spliceosomal RNA". From Rfam's summary of the family: U2 is a small nuclear RNA (snRNA) component of the spliceosome (involved in pre-mRNA splicing). Complementary binding between U2 snRNA (in an area lying towards the 5' end but 3' to hairpin I) and the branchpoint sequence (BPS) of the intron results the bulging out of an unpaired adenosine, on the BPS, which initiates a nucleophilic attack at the intronic 5' splice site, thus starting the first of two transesterification reactions that mediate splicing. The record is from Ensembl.